Molecule: ribosomal RNA, 557 nt
Filed under: uncultured Hyphozyma
Lineage: Eukaryota; Fungi; Ascomycota
Description: SSU rRNA
Rfam family: Eukaryotic small subunit ribosomal RNA
Source: RNAcentral
CUGGUUCAUCCUGCCAGUAGUCAUAUGCUUGUCUCAAAGAUUAAACCAUGCAUGUCUGAGUAUAAGCAAUCUAUACAGUGAAACUGCGAAUGGCUCAUUAAAUCAGUUAUCGUUUAUUUGAUAGUACCUUACUACUUGGAUAACCGUGGUAAUUCUAGAGCUAAUACAUGCUAAAAACCUCGACUUCGGAAGGGGUGUAUUUAUUAGACAAAAAACCAAUGCCCUUCGGGGCUCCUUGGUGAUUCAUGAUAACUUAACGAAUCGCAUGGCCUUGUGCCGGCGAUGGUUCAUUCAAAUUUCUGCCCUAUCAACUUUCGAUGGUAGGAUAGUGGCCUACCAUGGUUUCAACGGGUAACGGGGAAUUAGGGUUCUAUUCCGGAGAGGGAGCCUGAGAAACGGCUACCACAUCCAAGGAAGGCAGCAGGCGCGCAAAUUACCCAAUCCCGACACGGGGAGGUAGUGACAAUAAAUACUGAUACAGGGCUCUUUUGGGUCUUGUAAUUGGAAUGAGUACAAUUUAAAUCCCUUAACGAGGAACAAUUGGAGGGCAAGUCUGG